AUGGUGGAUGAAAUAACGGAGGGAUUUGAGGACCUUCAGCUUGACCACCCUACCGGUGAAGGGGAGACUCGGCUGGGGUCUGCUCUGAAGACUCCAUGCCUAUGGCGGAAGGAGCUCAUCAACCUUCCGAACUGGACGCCUCCACCUCCUUCUCCUCCUCCGGCGAGUCAGGGCACUCCGCCUCCUCCACCGCCUCCUCCUCCGGCGAGUGUUGAUCAGGGCCCUCGGCCGGCUCCUUCUCCGGCGCGUGGCGGCACUCCGCCUGCGCCGGCGCGCCCGAGCAGCCAGCCUCCUCCUUCUCCGCCUCGUCAGCAAGGGCGGAAGAGACCCGCCGCCACUCCAGCAGCUGCUCCGGCGCGUUGUAGUCCUUCUCCUCCGCCUUGUAAGCAAGUAAAGAAGACAACCGCUUCGUCUGCUCGGCCGGCGUCUAGCAGUACAACCAGAGGCGGGAGGACAUACAGAUUCGGUCCUUCUCUGAAGAGUCCACAGAAGUUACCAUACGAGAGGACCCCGGAGGAGAACGCGAAGAUCGCGCGAACCGAAGUGGAUGACUGGUUUCAAGGGUUGAGAGCAAAGAGACAUCCACCUCCGGAGGAGAAGGUAGAUCCGGUGAAAGUGAAGCGCACUCUGGCUGCCCUGGCAAAACCACCCAAGUCUCCGCCGAAAGGCAACUAUGAGCGCAUUAUUGCAAAGACAUGGGCCGAAGCGGAGCGGUCGGGAAGUACGGUCAGUGAUCAAAGGCUGAAAGAACGACGAGCAGCUGGGAAACAAAUUGCCCAGCUCGGUGAACAAGCGAAGCAAUCGUGCCCCCCCCUCAAGGUGCCUAGCGACAUCGUCGAUCCGAGGAUGGUGCCCGGUUAUGGCAAUGUUGACGAUUACCUGCCCGACGAUGUACAUUAUGAUCCCAUGGAGGUGCAGAUACACAGAUACGAGUACGGGAAGCCUCUCGUCAAAGAUGAAAAAUCUUUAACAACGAUGAUGCGAAGAUUACAUGAUUGGUACUUGAAAAUUUGCAGAGAGUCUGGGGGGAGGAGUACUUUGUAUGCGAGAGUUAAACCGGAGCAUGACCUCGUUGGAAUUGAACUAUUUCCUAUUCCAUUUGAGGAGUUCUAUCAGUUUUUCAAUCAAUUGGCCCUCAAUAAAACAACGAUCACCUGCUAUUGUCUAAUGAAGAUCGCCGAAUUGAAGAAAAGACAAAUCGGUGAUAUUGGGUUCGUUAACACAUAUCUCAUAGAUGCAACUGAGGUUGAACAUCGUCCCGGAGAUACCGAGGCCAACUUGCUACGAUCAUUAAAAAAUGAAAACAAAGAUAUAAUACUCUUUCCUUACAACUUU
This 1335-nucleotide ribosomal RNA is filed under the name Triticum aestivum (bread wheat). Its description in RNAcentral is "partial small subunit ribosomal RNA". Lineage: Eukaryota; Viridiplantae; Streptophyta; Magnoliopsida; Poales; Poaceae. The record is from RNAcentral.